CGGCGUUGCAUCCUGUUGACUUUGUCUGUAACUCCACUGUCAACCACUAGAUGGAGGCACAAUAGUUAACUUGACACGCUUUACGGUUGAAUGAAGAAGAAUGAAAACGGGAAGUACUCCAGCUGUGGCUACUGGCUAAUUGUGAAGAUGAUUAACGCCGACUCAUCUUCAAUGCUCCUUCGUACGCCGACUGAGCACAAUGUUAUGGACAGUUUGAUGGCGCUCGCUGGGUGGGGAGGACCCCAAAAAAACAACCGCGGUUCUAGGCCGGACCGGCCCAGACGGGGUCGACGAGAAGGCCCGCCGCGCGCUCCUCGGAACAAGCGAGCCAGUGUGCUUGUCGGAGGAGGUCUGUCCGCAGGUGGCUCGCCCGGGGCCCACCGAGCCUCAUCGCUUGCCAGCGUCGUCUUGUCCUCGACACAAAUGAGGCGUCCCGGCAACGCCGGGGCCGCGCGGGGAAUGACCGACCGGAAUUAAAUACCCAAGUCCUGAAUUAGGAAGAGGAUUGCUUUGCUGCCAUCUGGGUGCCACCAUGCUACGUUUUGCGCCCGAGGGCCCGACAGCAUCAUGCCGAGACGCUCCAGUUCCACCAGCCUUUGACCUUAGCAGGAAGCGCCGAAGCACUAUUUACAGACACAACAACAAUGUCAACAAUCUUCUCAGGUGCGUAUUGUUCGCUUGCUCGCUCGCUUUUGGGUGACCCCCUCCCGUAGGAGAAAAGUGGAAGUUGUGCGUGUCCGGGCACAAGCGGGCAUGCGCCGCCCCGCCCCCCCUCCGUUCACACGGCCGCUGUUUGCACGGCCCUUUAUUUUCCCUUUGCCGCGGCUCGCCCUCCAAACAAAAACCUCCCCCCCCCCCCCCCAAAGCGUGAGAGUGUUUGCUUAAUAAUUGUGUUCGCCAAGGCCUACUGGGCACUUAGGUGGUUAUUCCGGGACGCGUUUGGAGAACAAAACGUGAUGACGUGUCCCAACGCUGCGAGAAUGACACAGGACGGGCAAAAAGAUGGCAGAGGUUCCGUUCAUGAGUCCCCAGAAGGGAGAUUCACUCCGACCGGAUUACCGGAUCGCUCUGCCACUUUCUUUGAUGAAUAUUUGAUGAAGUAAAUUCUCUGUUGCAGCGAUACUCAAAGCCUGUGGUCUCGAGUACCGCGAUGGGGCUUCCCGGGUCCCCGCACGGGACGUGAUGAAAUCACUCAAUGAACGGCACUAGCAGGAGAGUAUUUCCAUAUAUUUAAGAGGUCAGGUUUAGGAAGUAUUUCAUAACGUCAAGAGUAUUUCGGUUGCUUUUGGGGAGUAUUUUCAAAGGAUUGGUCUAACUUUCGGGAGUAUGUAACAAUACUACAAAUAUUUUGCUAACUUUGAGUGACUAUUUCAGUUGACAUGGACCGACUUUUAGUUUGUCUCGGCGUGUUGCUCGG
Molecule: long non-coding RNA, 1417 nt
Organism: Hippocampus zosterae (dwarf seahorse)
Lineage: Eukaryota; Metazoa; Chordata; Actinopteri; Syngnathiformes; Syngnathidae
Exons: 5
Source: RefSeq, a predicted model, not a curated record